RNAcentral lists this ribosomal RNA (248 nucleotides) under uncultured bacterium. RNAcentral describes it as "partial 16S ribosomal RNA". It matches the Rfam family "Bacterial small subunit ribosomal RNA", at positions 525 to 772 of the family's 1533-position model. The record is from RNAcentral.
ACGUAGGGAGCAAGCGUUAUCCGGAUUUAUUGGGUGUAAAGGGUGCGUAGACGGGAAGGCAAGUUAGUUGUGAAAUCCCUCGGCUUAACUGAGGAACUGCAACUAAAACUAUCUUUCUUGAGUGCUGGAGAGGAAAGUGGAAUUCCUAGUGUAGCGGUGAAAUGCGUAGAUAUUAGGAGGAACACCAGUGGCGAAGGCGACUUUCUGGACAGUAACUGACGUUGAGGCACGAAAGUGUGGGGAGCAAA